This 404-nucleotide ribosomal RNA is filed under the name Macaranga rosuliflora. Its description in RNAcentral is "eukaryotic LSU rRNA". The stretch from base 5 to 160 matches the Rfam family "5.8S ribosomal RNA". The record is from RNAcentral. Lineage: Eukaryota; Viridiplantae; Streptophyta; Magnoliopsida; Malpighiales; Euphorbiaceae.
AAACGACUCUCGGCAACGGAUAUCUCGGCUCUCGCAUCGAUGAAGAACGCAGCAAAAUGCGAUACUUGGUGUGAAUUGCAGAAUCCCGUGAAUCAUCGAGUUUUUGAACGCAAGUUGCGCCCGAAGCCCUCGGGCCAAGGGCACGUCUGCCUGGGUGUCACGCAACCAUUGCUCCCAACCCUCUUGAAACAUCAAGGGGCAAGGGGGCGGAUGUUGGCCUCCCGUGCGCCGCGAGGCAUGCGGUUGGCCCAAAAGCAGAGUUCCCGGCGACGGUCGCCACGAAAUUCGGUGGUUGUAAGACCCUCUGACACAGUCGUGAACGAUCGUAUGCCAUAAGGGACCCCCGAGACCCUGAUGCAGGCCUUGAAGGCGUGCUCCAAUCGCGACCCCAGGUCAGGCGGGAU